Molecule: RNA transcript, 2240 nt
Organism: Zea mays
Lineage: Eukaryota; Viridiplantae; Streptophyta; Magnoliopsida; Poales; Poaceae
Gene name: protein-like pseudogene
Exons: 10
Source: RefSeq, marked validated
CGCAUCCGCGCCGCAACCCGCAGCCGCCCUGCAGGCAACCGCCCGCAUCCGCGGCAGCGCCGCGGCUGCUUCCAUCCAUGGCGCCGCGGCUUCCAUCAAUCGCCAGCGCGUCCUCCGUACUCCUGUCAUCCGAGGAAAGCCUUCCAUCCAUGGCGCCGUUGCUGCAAUUCCCCCCGCGAUCCACGCUACCUCCAUUGCCCACACGAUCCGCGCUCCCUCCAUUGCUACCGCGAUGCCCCUUCCCAGGAACCCUUCCAUCCAUGGCGUCGUUGCUGCAGGUGCCCCGCAAUCAACUCCAUUGCCGCCACGAUCCCCUUCCACCGACGACACUCACCUUCCAUCGACAAAACUGAUCUUCCUCCAUUCCACCGACGGCACUCACCUCUCAGAUCCCGUGCUCAUCACCAUCGUGCCCCUCGCUCGCCGCCCCCACCUCACCAAGAGCCUUAGCCGUCCCUAGAGAAGACACGGAGGUGCAGUGCCAGUGCUUUCCUCAAGUGCACCUCGGAUUUUCGGUACCGGCCAGAUUGGGACGAAUUCAACAUUCAUCGGCUCCACCAAAACACUGCCACUAUGAUGUGUAUGCUUGCGUCAGGACAGGAGACCCAAAAGUACUUCAUAGAUGAAUGUGACAUUUUCCACAAGAACGAGAUACGAAAUGGCCAAGGACUGCUGACGAUGAUGACGACAUGGCCACCAUCGCUGCCCUCAGGCUGACAUUCUGGCUCUCCAACACAGUUGUCCUCAGGGAGAUAAUUGUACAAACUUUUGGCAUCUCACAUCAAUUUACUCCAUCCAUGAUGAAUCUGAGCAUGAAUGGUGGUGCCAAAAAACUUGAUGGGAAAUCUAUGACAAUGCUGUGGAGAAACAGCUACAAUGGCAUGCAAGCCAAGUUUGCUGCAAGGCAGAUGCCAGAUGAUUGGCAGGAAACAAGUACACUUUUGGCUACAUUAGAGAAGAUUGAGUCUUGGAUAUUUUCUCGCAUUGUUGAGACAAUAUGGUGGCAGGCACUAACUCCUCACAUGCAAAAACGAGUAGAAGGAUCAUCAACUCCAAAGGCUGGUAGAGUGCUAUGUCCUACUUUGGGUGAUCAGCAGUAGGGCACCUUUUCUGUUAACCUGUGGAAGGCUGCGUUUCACGACGCAUUCAACAGAAUGUGCCCCCUCAGUGCUGGCGGACAUGAGUGUGGCUGUUUACCAAUAUUAGCAAAACUGGUGAUGGAGCAGUGUGUAGCCCGUUUGAAUGUUGCCAUGUUUAAUGCCAUCCUUCGUGAAUCAUCAAGUGAGAUACCAACAGACUCUAUAUCUGACCCAAUUGUUGACCCAAAAGUCCUACCAAUUCCAGUUGGUGAUCUAAGCUUUGGGUCAGGCGCGCAGCUGAAGAACUCUAUUGGAAACGGGUCUAGAUGGCUGACAGAUAAUCUUGGCAUAGAUCAUGAUGACUUUGAGGACAUAGGAGAUGUUGAAGACGAAAGAAGAGUUGCAGCUGAAACGAAAUCGUUUCAACUUCUCAAUGAGCUAAGUGAUCAUCUAUUUUUUAGUUUUUCAUAAUUUUCCUUUCAUGGCCUCCUUACAUGUUUGAUUUCCUAUGAUCCAUGAGCUGCCAAUCAUGAUAACGCGGUUUCACUAUGCAGGAGAUGAACAAGGAUGCAGUCACAACUGAUGCUAUCGGCAGUAUCAGAACUUGAUGGUGCUUGUAGACUGUUCAUGGUGCUUGUAGGGAUGAUGUAUGUCUAUGGCUUACUGAGCUCCAACCAACUAUGGCAGGAGCGUUAGCUAGGACAGCAGUCAGUCUAACAAUUGUGGACAAAGUUCAGUCUACCAUACACUGAAGCGCACCCUUGUUGCUAAAGCUGCAGGUGUGAACAACUUUGCUCAGCAGAAUGGAGGAUCAUUGUCACUAGCAGCAAGACCUCGAGCCCAGCACGUUGGGACAACUCAAGAAAUGGCAGUGGAUAUGGACAUAGAAAUUGACAGGCAAAACAAAGCGCUGGUUCCUUUCAGCGACGACAUCACUGAACUGAAUUUUAGACUGAAAGGCGUGAAUCAGUGUGGACACCAGUUGCUGGGCAAGUGAUAUGGAGCCAGAAUUCGGGCAGUUCGGAGACUAUCGCCUUGAUUGCAGAAUUUAAGAACAUUGUUGUUUUACAUGUUUUUUUGCAGUGAAUCAGGCCACACAUGUUGUAUUAGUGAGAGAAUGAUGAUUUAUUUUAUAUUAUUAUGGAUUUCAUAGAUUAUUUU